This 519-nucleotide ribosomal RNA is filed under the name Deraeocoris ater. Its description in RNAcentral is "partial 28S ribosomal RNA". It matches the Rfam family "Eukaryotic large subunit ribosomal RNA", at positions 666 to 1138 of the family's 3401-position model. The record is from RNAcentral. Lineage: Eukaryota; Metazoa; Arthropoda; Insecta; Hemiptera; Miridae.
CCAAGGAGUUUAGCGUGUGCGCGAGUCAUUGGGUGUCCAAACCUAAAGGCGUAAUGAAAGUGAAGGAAACUUCGUUUUCGAGGGAGGAUGGGUUAGGUUCCUAAUACUGGACCGGCCUCGCACUCCCGGGGCGUCUCUAUCUCAUCGCGAGAGGAGGCGCACCUAGAGCGUACACGCUGAUACCCGAAAGAUGGUGAACUAUGCCUGGCCAGGACGAAGCCAGGGGAAACCCUGGUGGAGGUCCGUAGCGAUUCUGACGUGCAAAUCGAUCGUCGGAGCUGGGUUUAGGGGCGAAAGACCAAUCGAACCAUCUAGUAGCUGGUUCCCUCUGAAGUUUCCCUCAGGAUAGCUUGCGCUCGGAAACAACGAGUCUCAUCCGGUAGAGCGAAUGAUUAGAGGCCUUGGGGUCGAAACGACCUCAACCUAUUCUCAAACUCCAAAUAGAUGAGAACCCCGGCUUUCUUGAACUUUGUUUAUGAAGCCGGGGGCUCGGAUCAGAGUGCCAAGUGGGCCAAUUUU